ACACAGGGUGGGUGGCUAUUCUCCAGAAAUGUCAGUUUCUGGGCAGGGCUUAGGUGUCUGCAGUCCCUAGUCCCACCCCUGGCCUUGCAUUCCAGCUCAGCGGGUGGAAGGUAUAAAUUUCAGCUGCUCUCAGCCCUGCUGUGUUUUUCCAAAGCCUUCCAACAGCAACAUGAAGUUGGCAGCCUUCCUCCUCCUUGUGAUCCUCAUCAUCUUCAGCCUAGAGGUACAAGAGCUUCAGGCUGCAGGAGACCGGCUUUUGGGUACCUGCGUCGAGCUCUGCACAGGUGACUGGGACUGCAACCCGGGAGACCACUGUGUCAGCAAUGGGUGUGGCCAUGAGUGUGUUGCAGGGUAAGGACAGAUGAAGAGUUAUCUUAAGGAUCAUCUUUCUCUAAGAUCGUCAUCCCUUCCUGGAGUUCCUAUCUUCCAAGAUGUGACUGUCUGGAGUUCCUUGACUAGGAAGAUGGAUGAAAACAGCGAGCCUGUGGAUGGAGACUACAGGGGAUAUGGGAGGCAGGGAAGAGGGGUU
This 529-nucleotide long non-coding RNA is filed under the name Pan troglodytes (chimpanzee). Its description in RNAcentral is "long non-coding RNA NONPTRT007285". Lineage: Eukaryota; Metazoa; Chordata; Mammalia; Primates; Hominidae. The record is from RNAcentral.